CCUCUGGGAUUUGUUAUGAUUGGUGCCGUUGUUUAAUGCAUAUUAUGUAGCUGCUUCCAUGACUUAUUGUGUGUUAGUAUUGGCCCUUACUAUCACUGCUAUGUGCUUGUAUUUUCUCCAGUGCAGCAGUUUGUGUCAUCAGCAUCGUGGACUUAGUAAUUUAGUUUCGGUUAUCUUUUUCAAAUGCCUGCUUAAGCAAAGGGUGGCAGUUGGUAUAUAAUUUACAUACAUUUUUUGCAGAGGGGAGAAGCUGCUGCUUCAAAUGACUGGUUAUGGUA
Molecule: long non-coding RNA, 278 nt
Filed under: Elaeis guineensis (African oil palm)
Lineage: Eukaryota; Viridiplantae; Streptophyta; Magnoliopsida; Arecales; Arecaceae
Description: long non-coding RNA (EGUI_LNC026858)
Source: RNAcentral